This 230-nucleotide ribosomal RNA is filed under the name uncultured Alicycliphilus sp. RNAcentral's name for it is "partial 16S ribosomal RNA". It matches the Rfam family "Bacterial small subunit ribosomal RNA", at positions 548 to 774 of the family's 1533-position model. Lineage: Bacteria; Pseudomonadati; Pseudomonadota; Betaproteobacteria; Burkholderiales; Comamonadaceae. The record is from RNAcentral.
AGAGAUGCAUUGGGUUUAAAGUGUGCGCAGGCGGUUUUGUAAGACAGAGGUGAAAUCCCCGGGCUCAACCUGGGAACUGCCUUUGUGACUGCAAGGCUGGAGUGCGGCAGAGGGGGAUGGAAUUCCGCGUGUAGCAGUGAAAUGCGUAGAUAUGCGGAGGAACACCGAUGGCGAAGGCAAUCCCCUGGGCCUGCACUGACGCUCAUGCGCGAGAGCGUGGGGAGCAAACA